CCUGCCCCUAGAGGGGUUGCAGAUGUAGCUGCUGUGUCACAUGUGCACCAGUAGGUAGCAGAGAGGAGAGAGCCUAUGUCUAGGCUCAGUGUUCUGACCUGAAAACAUCUGAAUGAUGAGUAGCCUAACAGU
Molecule: small nucleolar RNA, 132 nt
Organism: Grammomys surdaster
Lineage: Eukaryota; Metazoa; Chordata; Mammalia; Rodentia; Muridae
Product: small nucleolar RNA SNORA17
Exons: 1
Source: RefSeq, a predicted model, not a curated record